GUCUUUUUGGUAAUUAAUAUAAAGUCUAACCUGCCCACUGAAUAAAUUUUAAAGGGCCGCAGUAUUUUGACUGUGCAAAGGUAGCAUAAUCAUUAGUCUUUUAAUUGAAGGCUGGUAUGAAUGGUUGAAUAAGAUACAAGCUGUGUCAUAAAAAUUAAUAAUUGAAUUUAACUUUUUAGUCAAAAGGCUAAAAUUUAUUUAAAAGACGAGAAGACCCUAUAGAGCUUUAUAUAUUUGUUAUUUAAAUUAUUAAGAUUUUUAAAAUUUAAUUUUUAAGAUAUAUUUUGUUGGGGUGACAAUAAAAUUUAUAAAACUUUUAUUUAUGAUUAACAUUAAUUUAUGAUUGUAUGAUCCAGUUUUAUUGAUUAUAAAUUUAAGUUACCUUAGGGAUAACAGCGUAAUUUUUUUUGAGAGUUCUUAUCGACAAAAAAGAUUGCGACCUCGAUGUUGGAUUAAGAGUAAUUUUGGGUGUAGAAGUUCAAAAUUUAAGUCUGUUCGACUUUUAAAUUCUUACAU
This 516-nucleotide ribosomal RNA is filed under the name Simulium resimum. RNAcentral describes it as "partial 16S ribosomal RNA". It matches the Rfam family "Bacterial large subunit ribosomal RNA", at positions 1825 to 2601 of the family's 2925-position model. The record is from RNAcentral. Lineage: Eukaryota; Metazoa; Arthropoda; Insecta; Diptera; Simuliidae.